AACGAUCACUGCCAUUGCAAUGGCGCGGUGCACUUUGCUCGUUCUCCUCGUGGCGGCGGCGGUGGCGGUCGUCCCGCUCGCCGCCGGCCAGCCGUGGGCUACCUGCGGCGACGGCACGUACGAGCAGGGGAGCGCCUACGAGAACAACCUCCUGAACCUGGCCCUCACCCUCCGCGACGGCGCCUCCUCCCAGGAGAUCCUCUUCUCCACGGGCUCCAACGGCGCCGCCCCGAACACCGUCUACGGCCUCCUCCUCUGCCGCGGCGACAUCUCCCGCGCCGCCUGCUACGACUGCGGCACCAGCGUGUGGAGGGACGCCGGGAGCGCGUGCCGCCGCGCCAAGGACGUCGCCCUCGUCUACAACGAGUGCUACGCCCGCCUCUCCGACAAGGACGACUUCCUCGCCGACAAGGUGGGGCCGGGGCAGCUGACGACCCUCAUGAGCAGCACCAACAUCAGCAGCGGCGCCGACGUCGCCGCCUACGACCGCGCGGUGACGCGGCUGCUGGCGGCCACCGCGGAGUACGCGGCGGGGGACAUCGCGAGGAAGCUGUUCGCGACGGGGCAGCGGGUGGGCGCCGACCCGGGGUUCCCCAACCUGUACGCGACGGCGCAGUGCGCGUUCGACAUCACGCUGGAGGCGUGCCGCGGCUGCCUCGAGGGCCUCGUCGCCAGGUGGUGGGACACGUUCCCGGCGAACGUCGACGGCGCCAGGAUCGCCGGGCCGAGGUGCCUCCUCAGGUCGGAGGUGUACCCGUUCUACACCGGCGCCCCGAUGGUGGUGCUGCGUGAGUAGGCGCUGGCCAUGCGUGAAGCUAGAAUAAAAUGGCACAAAUUAAGAGUGUUCCACCAGAAUAAAUGUAUUGUAUACUGAAUAAACC
This 881-nucleotide long non-coding RNA is filed under the name Oryza sativa (Asian cultivated rice). RNAcentral's name for it is "long non-coding RNA (OSAT_LNC000877)". Lineage: Eukaryota; Viridiplantae; Streptophyta; Magnoliopsida; Poales; Poaceae. The record is from RNAcentral.